AUACCUCCUAAAAUUACUUCUGAAAUAUUGUUUCAAAUUCUAGGAUCAACUGCUAUGAUGUAUUUGGGGCCCAGUCACCAUUCGGUGGCUACAAGAUGUCUGGGAGUGGCCGGGAGCUGGGAGAGUAUGGGUUGCAGGCAUACACGGAAGUGAAAACUGUCACGAUCAAAGUGCCUCAGAAGAACUCCUAAAGAACUCCACCAGCUCCCUCACUCAUCCAGCGACUGAGGUCAAGGACAUCAGCAGCAAAACCAAGAAAAAUGACGCUUGCACACGAAAAGUCUCAAGAGAGAAAUUUGCUCAUAGAAUCUCUUGAUCAAGAAAGUCACAGAUUUUGAAUUGGUAAAUGGGAGUGGGUGCAGGGCAAAGAGUACAGGGAGAGCCUUUUACCCUGCAACAGUACUACUGCUAGGUUUCAGGCUGAUUUUUCAAAACUAGAUUCAAAUGUCUUAUCUUGUCCAUCUGGUAUCCUUCUGUAACUUGCCCUUGUGGGGGAACAAAAAGCUAUUGUUUAUCCUUGUACUAACAAGUUGGGGCAACAACUAGUGCCUUCCUUUGUAUUCUGGACUAAAACUCAUUAAAAACAAUGCUGCUGUUCACUUUCUGGUUAACUUUUUGUCCAUCUCGGUAACCCAAGGAAAUCCCACCACAUAGGGAUGUCGUCCCGGUGUGUGUGUCACCCCUCCCCUCCUAUGGCGAAGUAGCUUUGGUUUCCUUUCUCUAUCCUGUCCACCUGUGGCAGGCCCUGGGCUAGAAACUGGGGAAGUUACCAAAACAGGACUCCCAGCCCCUGCCCUCAGAGGGGUCAGUCAACCAGGAAAGAGAGACACUUGACCUCCAAGGUUUAUUUUCCUCGUUUUAAGUUAAGAAACUUGGUCAGGCUAAAUAAGAUGGAUUCAAGCUGAUGAAUUUCAUGAGAUUAAUUUGGAAACCAGAUGUCUGUCUAUUCAUCUUAAAUGAGGUCUGCAUUUCCUGUAAUCAGACCUCAUGAAUCUCCUGUCCAGAACACUGCCUUAUUUUAGUCAAGGGACCUGGCAAGGUAGUAAUUAGGAUUAUAAGUAAAUUAGGAAUCCAAAGAUUCCUUGGUGGGCAAUGGAAUCAGAAAAAAGCUGAAUAGCUGUAGUAGUUUGUGAAGUCUGUGAUCAUGUUUGGGUCACAGAUGAACAAUAUGAUGAAAAAUUUGAUCCUUUCCUAAGGAAAAUACACUUGCUAUAUCAUUUUUGCAGACAGUGGCAGGGGAAGGUGGAGCAUACUGGCUGACCCUGGGCU
Molecule: long non-coding RNA, 1269 nt
Filed under: Canis lupus dingo (dingo)
Lineage: Eukaryota; Metazoa; Chordata; Mammalia; Carnivora; Canidae
Description: lncRNA (ENSCAFG00020017052.1)
Source: RNAcentral